RNAcentral lists this ribosomal RNA (253 nucleotides) under uncultured bacterium. RNAcentral's name for it is "partial 16S ribosomal RNA". It matches the Rfam family "Bacterial small subunit ribosomal RNA", at positions 524 to 776 of the family's 1533-position model. The record is from RNAcentral.
UACGUAGGGUGCGAGCGUUGUCCGGAAUUACUGGGCGUAAAGCGCACGUAGGCGGAUCGGUCAGUUAGGGGUGAAAUCCCAGAGCUCAACUCUGGAACUGCCUUUAAUACUGCCGAUCUCGAGUCCGGAAGAGGUGAGUGGAAUUCCGAGUGUAGAGGUGAAAUUCGUAGAUAUUCGGAGGAACACCAGUGGCGAAGGCGGCUCACUGGUCCGGUACUGACGCUGAGGUGCGAAAGCGUGGGGAGCAAACAGG